This 74-nucleotide transfer RNA is filed under the name Candidatus Kaiserbacteria bacterium RIFCSPHIGHO2_02_FULL_55_25. Its description in RNAcentral is "tRNA-Ala". It matches the Rfam family "tRNA". Rfam says of the family: Transfer RNA (tRNA) molecules are approximately 80 nucleotides in length. RNAcentral also lists the same sequence under 1 other name. The record is from RNAcentral. Lineage: Bacteria; Candidatus Kaiseribacteriota.
GGGCCUGUAGUUAAGUGGUAUAACGGCGCAUUCGCAUUGCGCAAGCGGGGGUUCGAUUCCCCCCAGGUCCACAA